RNAcentral lists this ribosomal RNA (253 nucleotides) under uncultured bacterium. RNAcentral's name for it is "partial 16S ribosomal RNA". It matches the Rfam family "Bacterial small subunit ribosomal RNA", at positions 524 to 776 of the family's 1533-position model. The record is from RNAcentral.
UACGUAGGGUGCGAGCGUUGUUCGGAUUUACUGGGAGUAAAGCGCACGUAGGCGGACUAUUAAGUCAGGGGUGAAAUCCCGGGGCUCAACCCCGGAACUGCCUUUGAUACUGGUAGUCUUGAGUUCGAGAGAGGUGAGUGGAAUUCCGAGUGUAGAGGUGAAAUUCGUAGAUAUUCGGAGGAACACCAGUGGCGAAGGCGGCUCACUGGCUCGAUACUGACGCUGAGGUGCGAAAGCGUGGGGAGCAAACAGG